ACGGGUGAGUAACGCGUGGGAACAUACCUCUUGGUUCGGAACAACACAGGGAAACUUGUGCUAAUACCGGAUAAGCCCUUACGGGGAAAGAUUUAUCGCCGAGAGAUUGGCCCGCGUCUGAUUAGCUAGUUGGUAGGGUAAUGGCCUACCAAGGCGACGAUCAGUAGCUGGUCUGAGAGGAUGAUCAGCCACAUUGGGACUGAGACACGGCCCAAACUCCUACGGGAGGCAGCAGUGGGGAAUAUUGGACAAUGGGCGCAAGCCUGAUCCAGCCAUGCCGCGUGAGUGAUGAAGGCCCUAGGGUUGUAAAGCUCUUUUGUACGGGAAGAUAAUGACGGUACCGUAAGAAUAAGCCCCGGCUAACUUCGUGCCAGCAGCCGCGGUAAUACGAAGGGGGCUAGCGUUGCUCGGAAUCACUGGGCGUAAAGGGUGCGUAGGCGGGUUUUUAAGUCAGAGGUGAAAUCCUGGAGCUCAACUCCAGAACUGCCUUUGAUACUGAAAGUCUUGAGUAUGGGAGAGGUGAGUGGAACUGCGAGUGUAGAGGUGAAAUUCGUAGA
Molecule: ribosomal RNA, 557 nt
Filed under: Bradyrhizobiaceae bacterium StTD439
Lineage: Bacteria; Pseudomonadati; Pseudomonadota; Alphaproteobacteria; Hyphomicrobiales; Nitrobacteraceae
Also listed under: 3 other names
Description: bacterial SSU rRNA
Rfam family: Bacterial small subunit ribosomal RNA
Source: RNAcentral